ACUGUCUCCUUUCCGCCUGGUAUGUUUGUUAAAGUCCCACGUCGGCGGAUAUCCAAUAAAAGUGCUUUUUAUAUAAUUUAGGCAAUUUAGAGUUACAUUCGAUUCAUUUUAUCAAAUAUGAUAUCAAAGUCGACACCAGAUUGAGAAUGACUACUGCUUUUUCACUUUAUUUUAUCUUUCUGUCCUCCAAUGUUUGCCACUUUAAGCUUCUCUUUACCGUCUUUUGGCCAUCUUGAAGAGGGUAUUCUUGUAAUGAUAUUGUUCUUUGAAAUUCACUGCUAAUAUUAUGAGUUUUUUUUUUCAAUCACCAAUGGCCCAAAAAGCAUAAUCAUCCACUGCCUAAUUUCGCUAUCCAUCCACAUAGAACAACUUUUCAAGAACAUCCGAGAAGAUAAAAUUAGUGUUCAGGGUUGGGAUAGUGUUCUUGGUUUAUCCUGUUCUGUUCUUGCAGCCAUUUCAAUCUGUUUUAGCCAAUUUCCAUGAAUGAUAAAUCUUUUUUCUCGGUUUAAUCUCUAAAUAUUUUGUCAUUUUUCAUUUUGACUAAUAAUCACUGAUUUAUUUAUUUAUUUAUUUUUGAUAUAGGUGAUACAUUUGGUGAUAUUUCCAAGUGAAUUUGAACAAGUCCUAAUAUUAGUAAAAAUGCACAGCUAAAAUUUCUCUCCACAUGGAGAAUGUGGAAAUUGUUGAGAAAUUUAGAUAUUCCUUGUGAAGCAGACAUUGAAUAGGUGUCUGGAGAUUGUACAUCCCAAAUUUUAUGUUAGUGGGAAAAUUCUCUUUAUUCCUUGCAUAUGUUAGUUGUAAGGCCAUCUGGUAGAAUGACAUGUUGUUUAAAUUUUAUGGCUUGAUUUAUGCCUAAUACCUAGGGUUCAAAUAUAAGUUGUUUAGGAUCUAAUAAUGAUCAUCAAAGGUUUAAUUUAGGGGUCAUUGUUUGGUCCAAUGGAAUGUCCUGGAUAUUGUCUUGAGGCAGUUAGCAUAUGCAAUGAUGGUGAAGACUAUGUUUCUCUCCAAAUUCUGCCUUAUAUAACCCAUUUUGGUGGGCCAUAAUGGGGUAACGGGUUUGAACAGCCGUGGUCUGCAUUGUUUUCUACAUUUGUAGAUCUACAAGUUUGUUUCUUUUUGGAAAUUUCUGCCUUCUCACUUUAGUGCAGUUGCAUUUUUGUUAUGGUAUUUUUGAGACUGAAAUUGGCGUUCCCAUGUUUAUGCAGAGGUACAAAUUUUUUGCUUAUUUAAAAAUUUGGACUGCUGCUAAUGUAAGUUGCCUGUGUUUUAUUGAAGACAAAUGAUUGUUAGUAACGCAACUUAUUUGGAAUUUCAUUACCUUAUGAGAUUUGCUAUUCUCUCAUGUUAUGGGUGAAUCUUCCUGUUAUUUAUAUAUAGCUUCUUUGGGUCUUCCUAAUGAUAUCCUCUGUGAUUGCAGAAAGUGAGUCUUCCAGUUUUGGC
RNAcentral lists this unclassified non-coding RNA (1440 nucleotides) under Hevea brasiliensis (rubber tree). The record is from RNAcentral. Lineage: Eukaryota; Viridiplantae; Streptophyta; Magnoliopsida; Malpighiales; Euphorbiaceae.